Molecule: ribosomal RNA, 508 nt
Filed under: uncultured bacterium
Lineage: Bacteria
Description: bacterial SSU rRNA
Rfam family: Bacterial small subunit ribosomal RNA
Source: RNAcentral
AGGGUUCGAUUCUGGCUCAGGAUGAACGCUGGCGGCGUGCCUAACACAUGCAAGUCGAGCGGAGUUAUGAGAGGUGCUUGCACCACUUUAACUUAGCGGCGGACGGGUGAGUAACACGUGAGUAACCUGCCCUCGAGUGGGGAACAACAUCGAGAAAUCGGUGCUAAUACCGCAUAAUAUCUCUUUACCGCAUGAUAGAGAGAUCAAAGGAUUUAUUCGCUUGAGGAUGGACUCGCGUCCGAUUAGUUAGUUGGUGAGGUAACGGCCCACCAAGACAUCGAUCGGUAGCCGAACUGAGAGGUUGAUCGGCCACAUUGGGACUGAGACACGGCCCAGACUCCUACGGGAGGCAGCAGUGGGGAAUAUUGGGCAAUGGGCGAAAGCCUGAACCCCCAGCAACGCCGCGUGAAGGAUGAAGGUCUUCGGAUUGUAAACUUCUUUGAUCAGGGACGAAACAAAUGACGGUACCUGAAGAACAAGCCACGGCUAACUACGUGCCAGCCGCGGC